RNAcentral lists this ribosomal RNA (281 nucleotides) under uncultured bacterium. RNAcentral's name for it is "partial 16S ribosomal RNA". The record is from RNAcentral.
CUGCUGCCUUCCGUAGGAGUCUGGUCCGUGUCUCAGUACCAGUGUGGGGGACCUUCCUCUCAGAACCCCUACGCAUCGUCGGUUAGGUGGGCCGUUACCCCGCCUACUGCCUAAUGCGCCGCAUGCCCAGCCGCCACCGGAUUCCUCCUUUCGCCCGGACCGGAUGCCCGGUCCGGGCGGCAUGGGGUAUUAGGCCGGGUUUCCCCGGGUUAUCCCCCUGUGGCGGGCAGGUUCCAUACGUGUUACUCACCCGUGCGCCGGUCGCCGGCAGGUGCAGGCAA